UAGCCGCCCGGUCCGUCUCGGAAUGCGAUCUCCUUGGAGUCGGGUUGCUUGGGAGUGCAGCCCUAAUCGGGUGGUAGACUCCACCUAAGGCUAAAUACUGCCGUGAGACCGAUAGCAAACAAGUACCGUGAGGGAAAGUUGCAAAGAACUUUGAAGAGAGAGUUCAAGAGUACGUGAAACUGCUCAGAGGUAAACGGGUGGGCCCUCGAAAUCCUGUGGCGAGAGGAUUCAGUCUGGUUAGUCGGACGCGCUGGUCGGAAACGAGAAGGGCUUCCCCGAGCGGGGGCCGUCCGACUGUGCGACAUCCGCCUCGCCGGACGCAUUUGACUCUCGUCCUGAGGACGCUGCAGCCGGUCGGGCAUAGCAAGCGCGACGGCCUGAAGGGCGUGAGUUGGCAGGUGGCCGGUGGCGAGCACCAGUGAGCCGCCGGUUGUAUAGCCGUCUCGUCAGUGGCACGUCGCCCGACCGAGGUGUCUCGAGGCCCGAGUGGYCUCGUCGCCUCCUCCUCCAUGGAYAAGCGGGCAAGGCUGCUGCAGGCGACCUGCGCCGUCGUGUCGCACCCUGAGGUGUGGGCUGAACGGCGCGGGGCGUUGUUGGUGGCGGCAGACCCGUGGGAGUGCUGGGGGCUAGCAGCGAGUAGGUCGGUCACCCACCCGACCCGUCUUGAAACACGGACCAAGGAGUCUAACAUGUGCGCGAGUCAAUGGGUCUUGGACAGGCCCAGAGGCGCAAUGAAAGCAAAGGUCGGCUGAAGCCGACUCAGUCGGGAUCCU
This 773-nucleotide ribosomal RNA is filed under the name Salticidae cf. Tomocyrba sp. UBC SEM W.Maddison d305. RNAcentral describes it as "eukaryotic LSU rRNA". It matches the Rfam family "Eukaryotic large subunit ribosomal RNA", at positions 226 to 744 of the family's 3401-position model. The record is from RNAcentral. Lineage: Eukaryota; Metazoa; Arthropoda; Arachnida; Araneae; Salticidae.